GUCGAGGGGUAUAGCACUUCGGUGCUAGAGACCGGCGCACGGGUGCGUAACGCGUAUGCAAUCUGCCUUUCACAGAGGGAUAGCCCAGAGAAAUUUGGAUUAAUACCUCAUAGUAUUAUGUUUCGGCAUCGAGAUAUAAUUAAAGUCACAACGGUGAAAGAUGAGCAUGCGUCCCAUUAGCUAGUUGGUAAGGUAACGGCUUACCAAGGCUACGAUGGGUAGGGGUCCUGAGAGGGAGAUCCCCCACACUGGUACUGAGACACGGACCAGACUCCUACGGGAGGCAGCAGUGAGGAAUAUUGGACAAUGGGCGCAAGCCUGAUCCAGCCAUGCCGCGUGCAGGAUGACGGUCCUAUGGAUUGUAAACUGCUUUUGUACGAGAAGAAACACUGAUUCGUGAAUCAGCUUGACGGUAUCGUAAGAAUAAGGAUCGGCUAACUCCGUGCCAGCAGCCGCGGUAAUACGGAGGAUCCAAGCGUUAUCCGGAAUCAUUGGGUUUAAAGGGUCCGUAGGCGGUUUAGUAAGUCAGUGGUGAAAGCCCAUCGCUCAACGGUGGAACGGCCAUUGAUACUGCUGAACUUGAAUUAUUAGGAAGUAACUAGAAUAUGUAGUGUAGCGGUGAAAUGCUUAGAGAUUACAUGGAAUACCAAUUGCGAAGGCAGGUUACUACUAAUUGAUUGACGCUGAUGGACGAAAGCGUGGGGAGCGAACAGGAUUAGAUACCCUGGUAGUCCACGCCGUAAACGAUGGAUACUAGCUGUUGGGAGCAAUUUCAGUGGCUAAGCGAAAGUGAUAAGUAUCCCACCUGGGGAGUACGUUCGCAAGAAUGAAACUCAAAGGAAUUGACGGGGGCCCGCACAAGCGGUGGAGCAUGUGGUUUAAUUCGAUGAUACGCGAGGAACCUUACCAAGGCUUAAAUGUAGAUUGACCGGUUUGGAAACAGAUCUUUCGCAAGACAAUUUACAAGGUGCUGCAUGGUUGUCGUCAGCUCGUGCCGUGAGGUGUCAGGUUAAGUCCUAUAACGAGCGCAACCC
This 1034-nucleotide ribosomal RNA is filed under the name bacterium. RNAcentral describes it as "bacterial SSU rRNA". It matches the Rfam family "Bacterial small subunit ribosomal RNA", at positions 61 to 1104 of the family's 1533-position model. The record is from RNAcentral.